Long non-coding RNA from Bactrocera tryoni, 143 nucleotides. RefSeq lists it as uncharacterized. The transcript has 2 exons. The record is from RefSeq and is a predicted model, not a curated record. Lineage: Eukaryota; Metazoa; Arthropoda; Insecta; Diptera; Tephritidae.
GCUCAACGCUGGCGCCAACAUUUCGCAUUCUUCGUUGCUGUGUGUGUGUGCGUAUUUUUUCUUCGAAUAAUAAACUAGACGAAAACAGUUCCAGAAAGGAGGCAAGCGAAUAACUAAUAUGAGUAACUUUGUCUAAAUUUAAG